This 1877-nucleotide long non-coding RNA is filed under the name Strigops habroptila (Kakapo). Its description in RNAcentral is "lncRNA (ENSSHBG00005014219.1)". The record is from RNAcentral. Lineage: Eukaryota; Metazoa; Chordata; Aves; Psittaciformes; Psittacidae.
UGGGUGGUUUUUGGUUUGGUUGGGUUUGGGUUUUUUUGGGGCUGUUGGUUGGUGGGGGGGUUGUUUUAUUUUUGUUGUUGUUCGGGGGGUAUUUUUUGAGGUGCUAAGUAACAACCCUUCUGCUAUUUGAAACACCAAGCCUGGCCUGCUGCCUGGAUGUGUGGCUGGAGAGCUCUGAAUCUCAGAAGAGAUCCUGCUCAGGUUUGGCAGACUUUUAGGGCUCCAGCUGAUCCCAGUAGGCAAGGGGGAAGCAUGUGUUACUGAAAGGCUAAGCCUGCUGAAGUUGAUCCAUUCCUGCCAGCUUCUCAAAUCUUGGUUCCCAGGCAAGUUUGGGUUAGGAAAGGAUUUUCAAAGAGCAAUUGCUUGACUUCCAGUUACAUUGUAAUUUAAGGGGUAGAAUACUCUAUUUACAAGAGGCAAAGUUGGUUUAUUUAAAUCUUUGCUCUAUGUGCAUUAAUUAUUGUGCUAAUACCAGUACGAGCUGGUGUGCAGAGACCACUGCAACCAUGGGACCUUCAGAAGCAUGCACUAUCUGCUCAUUGAGUCUGGAAUCAGUGGGCACGGGGCUAUAAGGCAGUCACCAAACAUGGCCACAGUGUUACAUGAUUGCUAGCAGGGCCCUAAAGACCAGCAACUUGUAAAGGAUGCCUGUAUUUUAAUAACUCUUCCUUGCAGCUCUGUGCUCCCUCUUGCCUCUCUCCAGUAGAGAGAGCAUAGACUGAGCCAUUUGACAAAAUGACUACCCUACCUGCACAGCCAGAGGACUUAACAUGUAAUUUAAAAGUAGGAAUUCAAGCCUGGUUCCCUCCCCCCAAAAAAACUGAUAGCAUAAGAGCUGGGCUGCCUGGUGAAACUGAGGUAUUGCCUCAGAUGAACCCUCUGGCCUCUUUAAAGGCUAAUUCCCACAGUGCUCCUCAGUCUGGUCUCUUCAAUGAACCUGCAUGAUGCCUGUAGGGCAGCACUGUAUUUGAGGGGCCUCUGUAGAAAGAGCAGGCUUGCAGGAUUAGAAGCUAGUGGUGGAUUCAGGAAUGGCCUUGUAGGAAGUCUUGGCUUUACAGACUUGGUUUUCCUGUUAGAUUCCAGUAAAAUGGCACAGCUGGUCAGAUGCUGCUCUGAAGGGAGGAGCGGCGUUGGGGACACACAGAGACUGCCACUCAGCCCACCCCGAGAGGAAGCUGUCCUUCCAACAGGCACUUCUGCACUGGGCAAUGAGUCCCUGGCACCCUUCUACAUGCUGCUGUGUCCCAUAAAGCUUAAAUUUAUUUCAGCUGGAGAAGGUCUCCAGAAAGCAAUGAUAAUUUAAAAGCUUCAAUGUUUCAAGUAAUGGUGUUCCUGACCCAGAGAGGAGGAGGAAGAAUUUCCAAAUCUCUAUUGUUUACAUUGCCAAGAUGCUAACAAUAAUUUUCAUCUGUGGCUUGACUUUUCUGAGUAUAUUUCAGAUUUGGGAGCAAAGCUGUACAUAGCUGAGCACAGAAAGGUCCGUGCACCCUUCUCUACUUCCCCCUUCUCUCUUUCCCUUCCAAUGCUCAAAUCGGGGUUGCUCUGUUGACAACUACAGGAUGCAGGUUGCACAAAGUAACCGUGGGGUUCUUGGGUUUGUGUCCACUGGUGUUCCCAUUUUGCCUUUCUGAAACAGAAACAUCCAGUGAAUAUGAGAGACUAGAAAGUUUCUCUGUAUUUAACCCAUGGGCUGAGUUGGGAAGACGGAAGAUGAGGCUGAGCCUGGUUCUCUUUUAGUCUUGAUUAUGGGCAAAUUAUCUCUUUCCCAAGACACCUGGUUGGCUUAUUAUUUGGGAGUCUUUUAACUGACUGCAGAUAGAAGAAUUUGCUGCUGUACUUCUUACAAAAAGACUGCAUGAUGUAGCCUGUAUGACUAC